AUGACAACCAACUCCAUGAAGAAAGAGAGCACAAAACUGACUCCUGGUACCUGCUUGACAAGAGUGUGAAUUCUUCACAUCAUUCCUCUCCUUUUAAGACUUAAAGUUAGGGACCAUUCUGACAUUUUGAUUCAUGUAAGAAAACUGCUAACUUGAACUCCAGAACCUGAAAGAAAGCCAGCAACCAUCUUGUCCAGGCUUGUUGCCUUUAUAGAACAUCUCUCAAUAUUUUAUAUUUCUGACUUAAUGCCAGAACUCCUUUCCCCUUCAAAACAGAACCAAAACAAGGUUCUUGUUUCAGUAAUAGCAAUGUGAGUUAGUCUGAAACUCUAAUCAUGUUGCCUUUCUGGGGAAAUCUUACUGAAAACUUAGGAGAUAAAUUGUCCAUUCUUUUAUAAAGCCUUGUAUUCAGAGCCAGUGAAUUGAGGCAGAGGGACAAUUGUGGCAAUUGACACAUGGAUCCUGAUUCUCAUUUAUUCAGUCCCCUUCUCAGUGCAGACUGGAAAAGCUCAGUUCUCAAGAUGAGCAGCUAAACCACUGGGCAUGCCCUGAGGGACACACCUGGAGCUCUUGAGAGUGACUGUGUGCAAUAACACCACCUAAUCUCUCUUGGAAAUGGACUCAACUCAAUCAGACCUUUCUGUGGCACACUUCUGGUCAGCAGACUGCUCCAGAACCUCCUUCAAGUACUUAAGCAUCUUCACCUAAUUUCCAGAGGAAAAAGAAAAUCUCUACAGUGAGCAUGUAACAAUUUCUUCCUGCCUUAGUUUGGUUUUUUAUUAAAAAAUUGCCUCCCCCAACUAUACCACUGACCCUGCUAUACUCAAUUUCUACAGCCAUGUUCCCUCUUAUGUGUCAGAAUGAGCAGAUUUAUGUUCUUGAGUUUCUGGAUUUAAAAUAAUCUGCAUGUCCAGAGCUGUACACAUGUGUGUCAUGGUGUGUUCUCACUUCUUACUGGUUCUUCAAGACUAAACUGCUGGGAAUGUGUCUUCUCACGAGUCCUAAAGCACACAUAAGGACUCCCUUCAGCCCUUGGUUACAGUUUACUGAAUUGGGAGUUGCACUUCACCUGUUCCUGUGCCAAGGUCAACAGGACACAUUCCCUGCAAGGAGAGCUGUGAUUGAGCAGGAGCCUGACACGGAGGAGCUGUGCAAGCACUGGGAACCCUGGAGCAAAAGCCAGGCCUGUCGUGCCAGCAUCCCAGCUCAGCUGCCUUCCUCAGGGGCUGCUCAGCACUUUGAGAGCUACAGGCACCUGAACCACUGCUGGGAGAAAUUGAGCAAUGGCAUCACAGCGGGAUGAGUCCCAGAGUGCUCCCUCUGAAAUUACAUACUUUUAAACUAGAAAAAAUAUAUCAUUUAGAGGUGAAUGCUUUUUUUUUUGCUUUUGCUUUUUUUCUUUUCUUUUUCCCUCUGCAAUAGUUAGUGUUGCUUUUAUUUGCCCUAAAGGAGCAAGGAUACAGGAAAAUGUUGCCACCCAUGAGCAUAAGUGGAAGGAAACUACAGCAGGUUCUGUUGCAAGAUGGAAGCUCUGUUUAGGAUCCCUGUUGUCUCCUUGGGGAGUCUUACCUGUCUUUACAGUGCCCUGUGAUGGAAAGGGGAGCUGUCAAUCCUGACUCAAAGGGACACAGCCAAAACAGAGCUUUUGUCUGCGUCCACAUCAGCUGAGAAACACUGAAACACUUCCCUCUGCACAUGCACAGAAAAAUAACAUCAGUGGUCUUACCAACAUUGAUAUGUUCCAGGCCUGUAAAAAGCUGCAUCCCAGAGAUAUCUGAGUCUCCAUCCUGGACUUUGAAUCCAAUUGUGAUUUCUUCUAUGGUGUACUUUACCAAAACCUCUCAUUCUCACUCAGACACCUAUUUCUGGAUAUGUAGAUGUCCAGCAGAUUACACCUGGUUUGGAUCCAUAUUUAUUUCCUGCUGAAUGAAGCCUCACUUGCAAUAAAGUUUGGUCAUUCACCCA
This is a long non-coding RNA of Parus major (Great Tit), 1965 nucleotides long. Lineage: Eukaryota; Metazoa; Chordata; Aves; Passeriformes; Paridae. The record is from Ensembl.